RNAcentral lists this ribosomal RNA (492 nucleotides) under uncultured bacterium. RNAcentral's name for it is "partial 16S ribosomal RNA". It matches the Rfam family "Bacterial small subunit ribosomal RNA", at positions 29 to 507 of the family's 1533-position model. The record is from RNAcentral.
AGUGAACGCUGGCGGUAGGCCUAACACAUGCAAGUCGCACGGCAGCACAGUAAGAGCUUGCUCUUACGGGUGGCGAGUUGAGGACGGGUGAGGAAUACAUCGGAAUCUACUUUUUCGUGGGGGGUAACGUAGGGAAACUUACGCUAAUACCGCAUACGACCCACGGGUGAAAGCAGGGGAUCUUCGGACCUUGCGCGAUUGAAUGAGCCGAUGUCGGAUUAGCUAGUUGGCGGGGUAAAGGCCCACCAAGGCGACGAUCCGUAGCUGGUCUGAGAGGAUGAUCAGUCACACUGGAACUGAGACACGGUUCAGACUCCUACGGGAGGCAGCAGUGGGGAAUAUUGGACAAUGGGCGCAAGCCUGAUCCAGCCAUACCGCGUGGGUGAAGAAGGCCUUCGGGUUGUAAAGCCCUUUUGUUGGGAAAGAAAAGCAGCAGGUUAAUACCCCGCUGUUCUGACGGUACCCAAAGAAUAAGCACCGGCUAACUUCGUG